AUUGAACGCUGGCGGCAUGCCUUACACAUGCAAGUCGAACGGUAACAGGUCUUCGGAUGCUGACGAGUGGCGAACGGGUGAGUAAUACAUCGGAACGUGCCUAGUAGUGGGGGAUAACUACUCGAAAGAGUGGUUAAUACCGCAUGAGAUCUACGGAUGAAAGCAGGGGAUCGCAAGACCUUGUGCUACUAGAGCGGCCGAUGGCAGAUUAGGUAGUUGGUGGGAUAAAAGCUUACCAAGCCGACGGUCUGUAGCUGGUCUGAGAGGACGAUCAGCCACACUGGGACUGAGACACGGCCCAGACUCCUACGGGAGGCAGCAGUGGGGAAUUUUGGACAAUGGGCGAAAGCCUGAUCCAGCUAUGCCGCGUGCAGGAUGAAGGCCUUCGGGUUGUAAACUGCUUUUGUACGGAACGAAAAGCCCCGGGUUAAUACCCUGGGGUCAUGACGGUACCGUAAGAAUAAGCACCGGCUAACUACGUGCCAGCCGCCGCCGUAA
Molecule: ribosomal RNA, 498 nt
Filed under: uncultured bacterium
Lineage: Bacteria
Description: partial 16S ribosomal RNA
Rfam family: Bacterial small subunit ribosomal RNA
Source: RNAcentral